Pan troglodytes (chimpanzee) is the source of this 79-nucleotide microRNA precursor. It matches the Rfam family "mir-4782 microRNA precursor family". The record is from Rfam. NCBI's taxonomy places the organism in Eukaryota, Metazoa, Chordata, Mammalia, Primates, Hominidae.
AUUGCCCAGUUCUGGAUAUGAAGACAAUCAAGAAAAGAUUUGGUGUUCUUGAUUGUCUUCAUAUCUAGAACUGGGCAGU